UACGUAGGCAGCAAGCGUUGUUCGGAAUUACUGGGCGUAAAGAGUGUGUAGGCGGUGUUCUAAGUUUGUCGUGAAAUCUCCCGGCUUAACUGGGAGGGUGCGGCGAAAACUGGAAUGCUAGAGGAUGGGAGAGGUAAGCGGAAUUCCUGGUGUAGCGGUGAAAUGCGUAGAUAUCAGGAGGAAUACCUGUGGUGUAGACAGCUUACUGGACCAUUUCUGACGCUGAGACACGAAAGCGUGGGUAGCAAACAGG
Molecule: ribosomal RNA, 253 nt
Filed under: uncultured bacterium
Lineage: Bacteria
Description: partial 16S ribosomal RNA
Rfam family: Bacterial small subunit ribosomal RNA
Source: RNAcentral